AUUCGAGUCCCAAAUAGGACGAAACUCGCGUCCUGAAU
Molecule: non-coding RNA, 38 nt
Organism: Schistosoma mansoni
Lineage: Eukaryota; Metazoa; Platyhelminthes; Trematoda; Strigeidida; Schistosomatidae
Source: Rfam